UACGUAGGGAGCAAGCGUUGUCCGGAUUUACUGGGUGUAAAGGGUGCGCAGGCGGAUUAGUAAGUCAGGGGUGAAAUCUCACGGCUCAACCGUGAAAUUGCCUUUGAUACUGCUAAUCUUGAGUUCGGGAGAGGUCGAUGGAAUUCCAGGUGUAGCGGUGAAAUGCUUAGAUAUCUGGAAGAACACCAGUAGCGAAGGCGGUCGACUGGCCCGUAACUGACGCUCAGGCACGAAAGCGUGGGGAGCGAACAGG
Molecule: unclassified non-coding RNA, 253 nt
Filed under: uncultured Ignavibacteria bacterium
Lineage: Bacteria; Pseudomonadati; Ignavibacteriota; Ignavibacteria
Description: contains 16S-23S intergenic spacer region
Rfam family: Bacterial small subunit ribosomal RNA
Source: RNAcentral